GAUGAAGAACGUAGUGAAAUGCGAUAAGUAAUGUGAAUUGCAGAAUUCAGUGAAUCAUCGAAUCUUUGAACGCACAUUGCGCCCUUUGGUAUUCCGAAGGGCACACCUGUUCGAGCGUCAUUACACCAAUCAAGUUUUGCUUGGUAUUGGGCUCUUUGUCCCUAUUUUUUAGGGACAGGCCUUAAAGACAUUGGCGGCAUAGUCCGGCUUCGAGCGCAGCAAAAAACAUCGCUUUUGGAGUUAACUGGAUUAUUGUUCCUUGUCCAUAAAAAUAGAGUAGAAAUACUCGACUUUUUUCUUAAGGUUGACCUCAGAUCAGGUGGGGAUACCCGCUGAACUUAAGCAUAUCAAUAAGCGGAGGA
This 362-nucleotide unclassified non-coding RNA is filed under the name soil metagenome. Its description in RNAcentral is "partial contains 5.8S ribosomal RNA, internal transcribed spacer 2, and large subunit ribosomal RNA". The stretch from base 1 to 120 matches the Rfam family "5.8S ribosomal RNA", at positions 35 to 154 of the family's 154-position model. The record is from RNAcentral.